Molecule: ribosomal RNA, 453 nt
Filed under: uncultured Prevotellaceae bacterium
Lineage: Bacteria; Pseudomonadati; Bacteroidota; Bacteroidia; Bacteroidales; Prevotellaceae
Description: bacterial SSU rRNA
Rfam family: Bacterial small subunit ribosomal RNA
Source: RNAcentral
ACGGAAGGCAGCAGUGAGGAAUAUUGGUCAAUGGGCGAGAGCCUGAACCAGCCAAGUAGCGUGAAGGAUGACUGCCCUAUGGGUUGUAAACUUCUUUUGUUCGGGAAUAAAGGAGCCUACGCGUAGGCUUUUGCAUGUACCGUUCGAAUAAGCAUCGGCUAAUUCCGUGCCAGCAGCCGCGGUAAUACGGAAGAUGCGAGCGUUAUCCGGAUUUAUUGGGUUUAAAGGGAGCGUAGGCGGGUCUUUAAGUCAGUGGUCAAAGCGUGUGGCUCAACCAUACCACGCCAUUGAUACUGGAGACCUUGAGUGCACAUAAGGAUGGUGGAAUUCGUCGUGUAGCGGUGAAAUGCUUAGAUAUGACGAAGAACUCCGAUUGCGAAGGCAGCUGUCCGGGGUGUAACUGACGCUAAUGCUCGAAAGUGCGGGUAUCAAACAGGAUUAGAUACCCUGGUA